RNAcentral lists this ribosomal RNA (422 nucleotides) under uncultured bacterium. RNAcentral's name for it is "bacterial SSU rRNA". It matches the Rfam family "Bacterial small subunit ribosomal RNA", at positions 355 to 774 of the family's 1533-position model. The record is from RNAcentral.
UAAGGAAUAUUGGACAAUGGGCGAAAGCCUGAUCCAGCCAUGCCGCGUGAAGGAUUAAGGCCCUAUGGGUUGUAAACUUCUUUUAUACGGGACAAAACCCCUCUACGUGUAGAGGGUUGAUGGUACUGUAAGAAUAAGCAUCGGCUAACUUCGUGCCAGCAGCCGCGGUAAUACGAAGGAUGCAAGCGUUAUCCGGAAUUAUUGGGUUUAAAGGGUGCGUAGGCGGACCUAUAAGUCAGUGGUGAAAGCCCCAAGCUCAACUUGGGAACUGCCAUUGAUACUGUUGGUCUUGAGUACAGUUGAGGUAGGCGGAAUGUGUCAUGUAGCGGUGAAAUGCUUAGAUAUGACACAGAACACCGAUUGCGAAGGCAGCUUGCUAAGCUGUAACUGACGCUGAUGCACGAAAGCGUGGGUAGCAAACA